CCUACGGGAGGCAGCAGUGGGGAAUAUUGGACAAUGGGCGCAAGCCUGAUCCAGCCAUGCCGCGUGAGUGAUGAAGGCCUUAGGGUUGUAAAGCUCUUUUGCCAGGGAAGAUAAUGACUGUACCUGGAGAAUAAGCCCCGGCUAACUUCGUGCCAGCAGCCGCGGUAAUACGAAGGGGGCUAGCGUUGUUCGGAAUCACUGGGCGUAAAGCGCACGUAGGCGGACUUUAAGUCAGGGGUGAAAGCCUGAGGCUCAACCUCAGAACUGCCCUUGAUACUGGGAGUCUUGAGUAUGGUAGAGGUUGGUGGAACGAGCAAGUGUAGAGGUGAAAUUCGUAGAUAUUUGCUAGAACACCAGUGGCGAAGGCGGCCAACUGGACCAUAACUGACGCUGAGGUGCGAAAGCGUGGGGAGCAAACAGGGAUUAGAUACCCUGGUAGUCCACGCCGUAAACGAUGGAUGCUAGCCGUUAGCCAGCUUGCUGGGUAGUGGCGCAGGUAACCCUUUAAGCAUCCCGCCUGGGGAGUACGGUCGCAAGAUUAAAACUCAAAGGAAUUGACGG
RNAcentral lists this ribosomal RNA (561 nucleotides) under uncultured bacterium. RNAcentral describes it as "bacterial SSU rRNA". It matches the Rfam family "Bacterial small subunit ribosomal RNA", at positions 338 to 916 of the family's 1533-position model. The record is from RNAcentral.